GUUAGCUGCGUGGAGGAGGGGGCGGGAAUACGGAGUGGGGGAGGGUUAUUCGGAAUGAUUGGGCGUAAAGGGCGCGUAGGCGGCUUUACAAGUCAAAGGUGAAAUUCCUCGGCUCAACUGAGGAACUGCCUUUGAAACUGUAAGGCUUGAGGCCGGGAGGGGGUAGCGGAAUUCCCAGUGUAGCGGUGAAAUGCGUAGAUAUUGGGAGGAACACCAGUGGCGAAGGCGGCUACCUGGACCGGUUCUGACGCUGAUGCGCGAAAGCGUGGGUAGCAAACAGGAUUAGAUACCCUAGUAGUC
This 300-nucleotide ribosomal RNA is filed under the name uncultured Desulfurococcus sp. RNAcentral's name for it is "bacterial SSU rRNA". It matches the Rfam family "Bacterial small subunit ribosomal RNA", at positions 496 to 795 of the family's 1533-position model. Lineage: Archaea; Thermoproteati; Thermoproteota; Thermoprotei; Desulfurococcales; Desulfurococcaceae. The record is from RNAcentral.